AUGAGGAGCGGCGAGACCCUCGAUGAGCUCGCCAUGCGCAUGAACGGGAUUGCCAACAAGCUGCGCACGCUCGGCGAGAACCUCGACGAGGUGAAGGUCGUGAAGAAGCUUCUCCGCAUCGUGCCGUCCAAGUAUACCCAGGUAGCUAUUGCCAUUGAACAACUUCUUGAUCUUAAAACUAUGUCCAUGGAAGAGCUUGUGGGAAGGCUCAAAACGGCGGAGGACCGGAGCGACUUGGACGAGGGCGCCAACAACUACGACCAGGGUGGUGGGAGCCGCCUGCUCCUCACGGAGGAGGAGUGGCUUGCUCGCCACCGCAGCGGCACCGGCAAGAAGAAGGGCAACUUCGACAUACGCAAGGUGCGUUGCUACAACUGUCAAGAGUACGGGCAUUACUCCAAGAACUGCACCAAGCCAAGGAAGCAGCGGGCGCUUCUCGCCUACGCGACCGCCGCCGCCGAGCCGGGGCUGCUUUGA
RNAcentral lists this ribosomal RNA (477 nucleotides) under Triticum aestivum (bread wheat). Its description in RNAcentral is "partial small subunit ribosomal RNA". Lineage: Eukaryota; Viridiplantae; Streptophyta; Magnoliopsida; Poales; Poaceae. The record is from RNAcentral.